GUCGAGGGGUAUUGGUUUUCGGACCAGAGACCGGCGCACGGGUGCGUAACGCGUAUGCAAUCUACCUUUCACAGAGGGAUAGCCCAGAGAAAUUUGGAUUAAUACCUCAUAGUAUGCAGAGUUGGCAUCAACUCUGCAUUAAAGUCACAACGGUGAAAGAUGAGCAUGCGUCCCAUUAGCUAGUUGGUAAGGUAACGGCUUACCAAGGCAACGAUGGGUAGGGGUCCUGAGAGGGAGAUCCCCCACACUGGUACUGAGACACGGACCAGACUCCUACGGGAGGCAGCAGUGAGGAAUAUUGGACAAUGGGCGCAAGCCUGAUCCAGCCAUGCCGCGUGCAGGAUGACGGUCCUAUGGAUUGUAAACUGCUUUUGUACGAGAAGAAACACUCCUUCGUGAAGGAGCUUGACGGUAUCGUAAGAAUAAGGAUCGGCUAACUCCGUGCCAGCAGCCGCGGUAAUACGGAGGAUCCAAGCGUUAUCCGGAAUCAUUGGGUUUAAAGGGUCCGUAGGCGGUUUAGUAAGUCAGUGGUGAAAGCCCAUCGCUCAACGGUGGAACGGCCAUUGAUACUGCUAGACUUGAAUUAUUAGGAAGUAACUAGAAUAUGUAGUGUAGCGGUGAAAUGCUUAGAGAUUACAUGGAAUACCCAUUGCGAAGGCAGGUUACUACUAAUGGAUUGACGCUGAUGGACGAAAGCGUGGGUAGCGAACAGGAUUAGAUACUCUGGUAGUCCACGCCGUAAACGAUGGAUACUAGCUGUUGGGAGCGAUCUCAGUGGCUAAGCGAAAGUGAUAAGUAUCCCACCCUGGGAGUACGUUCGCAAGAAUGAAACUCAAAGGAAUUGACGGGGGCCCGCACAAGCGGUGGAGCAUGUGGUUUAAUUCGAUGAUACGCGAGGAACCUUACCAA
This 909-nucleotide ribosomal RNA is filed under the name uncultured bacterium. Its description in RNAcentral is "bacterial SSU rRNA". It matches the Rfam family "Bacterial small subunit ribosomal RNA", at positions 61 to 977 of the family's 1533-position model. The record is from RNAcentral.